RNAcentral lists this ribosomal RNA (254 nucleotides) under uncultured bacterium. RNAcentral describes it as "partial 16S ribosomal RNA". It matches the Rfam family "Bacterial small subunit ribosomal RNA", at positions 524 to 776 of the family's 1533-position model. The record is from RNAcentral.
UACGUAGGGCGCAAGCGUUUGUCCGGAAUUAUUGGGCGUAAAGAGCUCGUAGGUGGCUUGUCACGUCGGGUGUGAAAGCUUGGGGCUUAACUCCAGGUCUGCAUUCGAUACGGGCUAGCUAGAGUGUGGUAGGGGAGAGCGGAAUUCCUGGUGUAGCGGUGGAAUGCGCAGAUAUCAGGAGGAACACCGGUGGCGAAGGCGGGUCUCUGGGCAGUAACUGACGCUGAGGAGCGAAAGCGUGGGGAGCGAACAGG